Clupea harengus (Atlantic herring) is the source of this 2419-nucleotide long non-coding RNA. The record is from Ensembl. NCBI's taxonomy places the organism in Eukaryota, Metazoa, Chordata, Actinopteri, Clupeiformes, Clupeidae.
GUAUCGAUUUUACAGUUCCCACAGUACCACAGGUAGGCCUACCAUGCGAUCUGAAUGAAUGGUGCAGGCUAGUUGCCAAUAUAUUGAGACGUUUAAUGUAGCGCUAACUUUGAGUUGGUACAAAUGUUAAACCAAUUAAGAGCAAUCACGAUGCCAGUGAAGUCUUAUAACAAUAUUUUUAACAAUGCCUCCUUCCCUAAUUAUAACCAGUUGCGUGACACUGUCUUGUUUAUUUUUUUAGACUGCAUUGAUAUGUUAAUAAUACAACCACUAAUAAAUAUUAUCAGGGCAUAUGUAAUUUAAUGUUUAAUUCUGUUCAACACAUACCAUUCUCGUUUAGUCUGUACAAAAACAAUUAUACAACAAAAUGUAAAAUUGGACAUCUGCAGAAUAGUGGAUAGUGGAUAAUAGUUGAGUCAUGCUGAAAUACAAUGACCACUUUUACUAACUGAUUAUCAUGGUUUACGACAUGUGUAUGUUGGAAUGUGUAACAUAUUCCACAUCAAGGCUGAAGGUAGCUGUCACCCUAAUCAUGUUGCUGGAUCUCUUUUAGGAACCCACACCACCCCCCAUCAACGUAUUGCAGCCACAAUCUUGGAGGAUCUCUGAGAUGGGAUAUUAUUACUGGUGUAGGGUCUUAAGCAGUUGUACAAAUGUAUUUAUGAGUUUGUUCGUCGUGAUUAGUGUUCCUUGACCCAGGGUUGCCAAAGCAUGGUUUCCUAUCUCUUCCAAUCCACCCGUCAACACCCCCCAGCAGAGAUGAGUUAUCUGUUGGGGAAAUAAAGACUCUUGGGCAGUGGCCUGGCCCCCUCAAAGAGCCAAGGGCUAUUUCUGGUACCUGACAGAGAGAGAGAGGGAGAGGGGGGGGGACGUAGUAUAGGAGGAGAUGAGAGUGUAAGUGAGAGAGUGUGUGUGCGAGAGAGAGUGUGUGUCUGUGACUGUGUGUGUGUGUGAGUGAGAGAGUGAGUGUGAGUAAGAGAGUGUGUGUGAGUGAGUGAGUCUGUGUGAGUGAGUGAGUGAGUGUGAGUAAGAGAGUGUGUGUGAGUGAGUGAGUCAGUCAGUCUGUGUGAGUGUGUGAGUAAGAGAGUGUGUGUGUGUGAGUGAGUGAGUGAGUGAGUGAGUGAGUCUGUGUGAGAGAGUGAGUGUGAGUAAGAGAUUGUGUGUGAGUGAGUGAGACAGUGUGUGUGAGUGAGUGAGUGAGUGUGAGUAAGAGAGUAUGUGUGAGUGAGUGUGAGUAAGAGAGUGUGAGUAAGAGAGUGUGAGUGAGUCUGUGUGAGUGAGUGAGUGAGUGAGUGAGUGUGUGUGAGUAAGAGAGUGUGUGUGAGUUAAUUAUGCCCUUUGUUGUUUGGGAAGUGUGUGGCUGCAUUGCUGUGGGUGUCUGUGGUGAGGGGAGUGUUUUUUAUCAACUUCCAGUUUAAGUGUCUCUCUCUUUUUUUUCUUUUUCAGUUUUAGUCUCUUUUUAAAAAUGGGAGGAAGGGCUAGUUCCCUGUAUAGUAUUCGCUUUCGAUGCUUGCUGCUGGAAUGCAACUACACAUUCAUGCCGAUCCUAAGUUUCAUUAGCCUCCAUGACCUUCUAACAACCUUAAGUGCUGCCCACAGCAGUUAUGUCUGUAUGGGGGCUGAAAUGUGAGCUCAGGUAUCGUUUGCUUGGCUGUGUUGUUUUCCCCUUUACUUUGCUGCUUGUUGGGCAGUGGGUGAAGGGGACUUGGAAGAGCUUGCUGUCAAGUUUUGACAGGAUUGCUCUGAAGACUGCAAGUUUAUUUAAGACACUGGGAUGGUUAGAGGUAUGAAAGGCUUUCAUGUUAGGCAUGACUGAUAUUGUCAGUCUACUUUUUAAAAUAUUUUUUUCCCAGCGCUUAGAAACAAAUCUUUACUACGUGUAGUCGUGCUGUUGCAUUACAUCCCGUCUGUAUUUUCAACUCAUCAGAUAAGCACGCAUAGGGUUCCAAAAAAUGCCGUUUCCACAGAAGACAGAUCGUGGAAAUUUAGAUUUCAUGAGAAAUUAAAAUCUGCCUUGAGAAACCUCACUGAAGGGUCAUUAUUGGGAUGCUGGAUUUAUUCAGUCUUAAAGUAACACUAUGGAGUUUCUGGAUCCGCCAGGUAGGGGGCUACUUUCUGCUGGACUAUUCAGUAACGUAUUUGCUGUCUUGCUUUGUCUUAUUGGAUUGGAGUACAUUUAUCGUCAUUGCACAGAGUACAAGUACAGAGGCAACGAAAUGUGUUAUGGUGCACUUGCUUGAUAUUUGACUGUGUUAGGAAAGUUGUUGACAAGCUAGCCAACAUAGCUAUCACAAUAACAUUACAAAGAAGCUGACGCGAGAGCACUUAUUACUAGCAUCAAUGUACAAGCGUGUUUUAACAAGCUUGCUAACAUCACUAACGAGAUGUCUUGCUAGCGGCUAAACUUAACGAAACCUGU